This 376-nucleotide ribosomal RNA is filed under the name uncultured Paracoccaceae bacterium. RNAcentral describes it as "uncultured Rhodobacteraceae bacterium partial 16S ribosomal RNA". It matches the Rfam family "Bacterial small subunit ribosomal RNA", at positions 338 to 731 of the family's 1533-position model. Lineage: Bacteria; Pseudomonadati; Pseudomonadota; Alphaproteobacteria; Rhodobacterales; Paracoccaceae. The record is from RNAcentral.
CCUACGGGAGGCAGCAGUGGGGAAUCUUAGACAAUGGGGGCAACCCUGAUCUAGCCAUGCCGCGUGAGUGAUGAAGGCCUUAGGGUUGUAAAGCUCUUUCAGCUGGGAAGAUAAUGACGGUACCAGCAGAAGAAGCCCCGGCUAACUCCGUGCCAGCAGCCGCGGUAAUACGGAGGGGGCUAGCGUUGUUCGGAAUUACUGGGCGUAAAGCGCACGUAGGCGGACCAGAAAGUUGGGGGUGAAAUCCCGGGGCUAAACCUCGAAACGGCCUUCAAAACUACUGGUCUGGAGUUCGAGAGAGGUGAGUGGAAUUCCGAGUGUAGAGGUAAAAUUCGUAGAUAUCCGGAGGAACACCAGUGGCGAGGGCGGCUCACGG